UAAUUAAGCUGAAGAAAGAAAAUUGGAAAGAGAGAUCAUCAUCACUUGCAACAGCUGCGAUAUCGUUCAAAAUCUCAAAACCAGGUCGACUCUUGCAUUUUCUCAGGCGGUAAUCAUCUUCAACCACAUCAUCUAUCAAUUCUGAUCUCUUCUGCUUCUUCUUCAUCUUUCCACCAUCAUAGUCAUCCUCGUCUUUUUUGUAAUGUCUGGUCAUGGCUAUAAGUCCGAAGUUUCACU
Molecule: long non-coding RNA, 237 nt
Filed under: Amborella trichopoda
Lineage: Eukaryota; Viridiplantae; Streptophyta; Magnoliopsida; Amborellales; Amborellaceae
Description: long non-coding RNA (ATRI_LNC004572)
Source: RNAcentral